Molecule: ribosomal RNA, 588 nt
Filed under: uncultured bacterium
Lineage: Bacteria
Description: bacterial SSU rRNA
Rfam family: Bacterial small subunit ribosomal RNA
Source: RNAcentral
CCUACGGGAGGCAGCAGUGGGGAAUUUUGGACAAUGGGGGAAACCCUGAUCCAGCAAUGCCGCGUGUGUGAAGAAGGCCUUCGGGUUGUAAAGCACUUUUAUUCGGAGAGAAAUCCCUUGGGCUAAUACCCUGAGGGUCUGACGGUACCGGAUGAAUAAGCGCCGGCUAACUACGUGCCAGCAGCCGCGGUAAUACGUAGGGCGCGAGCGUUAAUCGGAAUUACUGGGCGUAAAGCGUGCGCAGGCGGUUUUGUAAGACAGAUGUGAAAGCCCCGGGCUCAACCUGGGAAUUGCAUUUGUGACUGCAAGGCUAGAGUGUGUCAGAGGGAGGUGGAAUUCCGCGUGUAGCAGUGAAAUGCGUAGAGAUGCGGAGGAACACCGAUGGCGAAGGCAGCCUCCUGGGAUAACACUGACGCUCAUGCACGAAAGCGUGGGGAGCAAACAGGAUUAGAUACCCUGGUAGUCCACGCCCUAAACGAUGUCAACUAGUUGUCGGGAAUUAAAUUUCUUAGGUAACGCAGCUAACGCGUGAAGUUGACCGCCUGGGGAGUACGGCCGNAAGGUUAAAACCUCGAAAAGGAUUGACGG